UGUCACAUCUUUACUGAUAAUAAAUCAUGAAGGCUUUGAAUCACUGAACUACAACUUGUAAUAUUUCACUCCAUAUGCAUACCUUAGAAAUAUGCAUUUCUUCGCCCGCUCAAGUUUAUCAUCUCUUACAUAAGUAUAAACAAGACAAGCAAAUACUCUCAAUUAAGAGUAAUCAACAGGUGAAUCAGAUUAUAUCUCAAAAGGAGUUUUGCACUCAAUAUAUGUCGGUGUAGAUCUAUUAAUUAAG
RNAcentral lists this long non-coding RNA (247 nucleotides) under Carica papaya (papaya). RNAcentral describes it as "long non-coding RNA (CPAP_LNC005555)". Lineage: Eukaryota; Viridiplantae; Streptophyta; Magnoliopsida; Brassicales; Caricaceae. The record is from RNAcentral.